Long non-coding RNA from Photinus pyralis (common eastern firefly), 378 nucleotides. RefSeq lists it as uncharacterized. NCBI's taxonomy places the organism in Eukaryota, Metazoa, Arthropoda, Insecta, Coleoptera, Lampyridae. The record is from RefSeq and is a predicted model, not a curated record. The transcript is spliced from 2 exons.
GGGCACAUGUGGACAGGGGGUGCAUGUGGGCAGUUUGAAUUCAGCGCUUUAUAAGGCAUGAAUAAAUUCGAAAAAAUUCUCAUAGAUGUCUCUGAUUAUACCUAAUGUGUGAAUAAAGUUUGAACAUUUAACAGCUGAUAGUGUUUGUGUUAUGGUUGAAAGCACGUUUGAAUGGUGACAAAGUAAACUUAUUAGAGGAAUAUAAUCGGUGAUCAUCAAUAUGGUAAGGACUUAUAAGCACAAAACAUCGAGAGCUGAUAUUGAUGAAACUAUUGUCGCAAGAGCCCUUACAGAAAUUAGUAAUGGCAGAAUGUCAUUGCGUACAGCAGCAUCGGAAUUUGGCUUAAAGAAAUCAAUGUUGCACAAACGUUUCAAAAA